GCCUUCGUUGUGUAAUGGUCAGCACACUGAGCCGGUAUUUCAGAGGUCCGUGGUUCGAUCCCCGGCGAAGGCA
This 73-nucleotide transfer RNA is filed under the name Stegodyphus mimosarum. It matches the Rfam family "tRNA". Rfam says of the family: Transfer RNA (tRNA) molecules are approximately 80 nucleotides in length. Their secondary structure includes four short double-helical elements and three loops (D, anti-codon, and T loops). The record is from Rfam by way of RNAcentral. Lineage: Eukaryota; Metazoa; Arthropoda; Arachnida; Araneae; Eresidae.